Molecule: long non-coding RNA, 235 nt
Filed under: Elaeis guineensis (African oil palm)
Lineage: Eukaryota; Viridiplantae; Streptophyta; Magnoliopsida; Arecales; Arecaceae
Description: long non-coding RNA (EGUI_LNC049708)
Source: RNAcentral
GGGGCUUUCUUCUUGAUUGGGAUCUCCUUCUUCAUUUGGAGGCUGGCUUUCUUUCUGAUUGGGAUCUCCUUCUUCAUUCAGAGCCCCCCAAUUUUGAGGCCAGCAAGGAUAAUCCUCGAGGGGCAUUAGCUAAUAUCAGUUGAUUCAUGGAUGGUUGGACCAUCUAGCUGAUUUUGAAGUGGACGGUCGAAUCUCAUUGAUGUCAGAGUAGCACGAUGAAGCUCCUCUCGUUGGA